RNAcentral lists this ribosomal RNA (253 nucleotides) under uncultured bacterium. RNAcentral's name for it is "partial 16S ribosomal RNA". It matches the Rfam family "Bacterial small subunit ribosomal RNA", at positions 524 to 776 of the family's 1533-position model. The record is from RNAcentral.
UACGAAGGUGGCAAGCGUUACUCGGAAUUACUAGGCGUAAAGGGCAGGUAGGUGGUUUGGUAAGUCUGCUGUGAAAGCUCCUUGCUUAACGGGGAGAGGUCAACAGAUACUGCCAAACUUGAGUAUGGGAGAGGGUACUGGAAUUCCCGGUGUAGCGGUGAAAUGCGCAGAGAUCGGGAGGAACACCAAUGGCGAAAGCAGGUACCUGGACCAUUACUGACACUCAGCUGCGAAAGCUAGGGGAGCAAACAGG